AAUUCUCAACUAUUCAAGUUUUUGUUAACUUGAAUGGCUUGGAUCAUGGGAAUUGCGGGCUUUACUGAGUCGGCUUUCCUUAACUGCAUUAGCAGAGCUUUUGUUGCUAGCUAUUGGUGUGAUAACUAUCUAUGCCAUUAGCGAGCCGCAUGAAUGGAGCUUCGCUUCUAAUCGUCUUUACAGACAACUUUGACA
RNAcentral lists this unclassified non-coding RNA (195 nucleotides) under uncultured Clitopilus. RNAcentral's name for it is "sequence contains ITS2". Lineage: Eukaryota; Fungi; Basidiomycota; Agaricomycetes; Agaricales; Entolomataceae. The record is from RNAcentral.